Long non-coding RNA from Ficedula albicollis (Collared flycatcher), 1354 nucleotides. RefSeq lists it as uncharacterized. The record is from RefSeq and is a predicted model, not a curated record. Lineage: Eukaryota; Metazoa; Chordata; Aves; Passeriformes; Muscicapidae. The transcript is spliced from 3 exons.
GCCGUGUGCUGGGAGAGCGGGGAUGGGGAAUGGGAAAUGGUCCUCUGCUGGGAGAGCUGGGAUGGGGAAUGGCCAUGUGCUGAGGAAAACUGGAGUCGGGAAGAAUGGGGGAAUGGACGUGUCCAAGGGGCAGUAGGGGACUGGGAAGGAUGUGUAGAUUGGCCAUGGCCUGGGCAAGCUGGGGAUCGGGAAGGAUGUGGGUGAAUGGCCAAGGUGGAGAGGAGAGGAUGGUAGAGAAGUUGUGUGGGGAGUUGGGACGGGAAAGCCGAGGGUACAAAUGGGAAAAGACAUGGCAGGAGAAUUCAGAGCCAGGCUGAAAUGUGUGGUCGCACACAGAGUGCUGCUGAUCCAGGGCAGUAUUCCCUGUGGACAGGGUGUGACAGACCAGCCCUAGAAAUUGUUAAACUUUGGACCAAUUUGGUUCUUAUCUGCACUGUGUAGAAAUCAGCAGUUGGGUUCUGUGAGCUGCCAUUUGCAGAAUAAUAAUUUAAAAAAAAAUUCCUUGUGUCCAUGCCAUGUGGCUUAAUUUAACUCCCACCCUGUGGGAAAGGUUACGCUUUCCAGAGUUUUCCCAGCUCUGCAACACACUUCCCAUGAGGGGAGCUCCAUCAAAGUCAUGGGCAGGGCCAGAGAGGCUCAAGGGUGAGAAAAGGUCCCAGAAAAGCUACGAAGGUUGCCACAGUCAAGGUUGCUUUGGAAGUCUGAGCUCAUACAUCACACACCUACUCUUACUAACACCCUUACUAAUACUCUGCUCGUUUGGUCAUGUCACUGCUCUGGCUUCUUCCUGCUGAGGUAACCUGUGAAGUAUUAUCAUGUGGGUAGUCAGAGAUGAGGAUCCAGCUAUGGGUCAGGACUGCAGAAUGGGAUGAGAAGAUGACCUGUGCUUCACUGAGUUCAUUGCAUGGCUUCUACACAGCCCAGGAGGUUCUCUCUCUGCAGCUGCAUGGAGCUGAGCUGUAACCAUGCCUGGAGUGGCUCCCUCCUGACAGAGCUCAGAGCUUGGGACUUGCUAAUUCAAAACUGGGGGCUGCACAAAGAAGGGAUUUGAUUUCUUGAAUUUACCAAGACAAGAAGGAGAAGGUUUUGCUUUCACAGAUAGUUCUCAAAGGAUUUGGUGGCUCUGGACACUGUGAAAUGUGUGCAAACAUCUUUAACGAAGUAGUGUUCAUUUUCAGAAAAGGAUGGUUGUAGUUAAUUUUUUAGAGGUUUAAUCAUGGCACAUUCCUUCAGCAGUAAUAAGAGCUGGCUGGCAUUAUAUCACAUUCUUCCCCAGCUUCUGUAGUGAUAUCAAGAAAGCAAGAGAGCUCUGCCCCUAUUAUUAUGAUUUUGUGAGUCAAUUAAAAGGUUAAAA